Pseudonaja textilis is the source of this 196-nucleotide non-coding RNA. The record is from RefSeq and is a predicted model, not a curated record. Lineage: Eukaryota; Metazoa; Chordata; Lepidosauria; Squamata; Elapidae.
GGCAGAUUGCAGAGGAAGGGAUGACAAGAGAGAGUAAGCAGGCAGAUUGCAGAGAAAGGGAUGAUAAGAGAGGAAGCAGGCAGAUUGCAGAGGAAGGGAUGACAAGAGAGGAAGCGAGCAGAUUGCAGAGAAAGGGAUGACGAGAGAGGAAGCAGAAGGCAGAUUGCAGAGGAAGGGAUUGUUAGUGAGUAAGCAG